CCUACGGGAGGCUGCAGUGGGGAAUAUUGGACAAUGGGGGGAACCCUGAUCCAGCGACGCCGCGUGAGUGAAGAAGUAUUUCGGUAUGUAAAGCUCUAUCAGCAGGGGAGAAAGAAAUGACGGUACCUGACUAAGAAGCCCCGGCUAACUACGUGCCAGCAGCCGCGGUAAUACGUAGGGGGCAAGCGUUAUCCGGAUUUACUGGGUGUAAAGGGAGCGUAGAGGGUUACGCAAGUCUGGAGUGAAAGGCGGGGGCUCAACCCCCAGAUUGGCUUUGAAACUGGAUGACUUGAGUGCAGGGGAGGUAAGUGGAAUGCGUAGUGUAGCGGUGAAAUGCGUAGAUAUUAGGAGGAACACCAGUUGCGAAGGCGGCUUACUGGACUGUAACUGACGUUGAGGCUCGAAAGCGUGGGGAGCAAACAGGAUUAGAUACCCUAGUAGUC
Molecule: ribosomal RNA, 443 nt
Filed under: uncultured bacterium
Lineage: Bacteria
Description: partial 16S ribosomal RNA
Rfam family: Bacterial small subunit ribosomal RNA
Source: RNAcentral